CCUUACUGUAUUAUGUUUCUGCCCCAGUGAAAAGAGUAUUUGGUUGUUACCACCAUGAAGCUUUGACACUUUGACCUUGUGGCUCAUAUAUUCUAUAAUAUAAUAUGAGCGAUCGGAAACAGUGGAAGUGUGGACAAACAUAUUUUUUAUAUAUGUUAAAAUCUUGAAGUCUCUAGGGAACGUUUGGUUUUGGAAGUUGAGUUUGGCAGAUCAGGAAAUGGUCACGUAAGUAACUGGAACUGCCAUGUACUUUACGUCAUUUUUUUUAGCAUUGAUACUUGACCUACUCUUAGAUGUGUACUUGUUAGAAGGGAAAGUUACAGCCCAUGUGACUAUAUCUGAUAGCAACAACCACAAUAUCUCUUGUCUCACCAAGACCUGCUACUCAAAACUAGUCCUGUUUAAUUUUUCAAAACGGUAACAGGCUUCUUAGUAACAAUAAUUCAACAAUUUACAAUGUAACAACAUUAUGAGUUAACGCUUAAGUUGUCUGUGAGAUUCUCUACCUAUAGGCUACUCUACCUGAACGUUACCAUGUAAAUGCUAACACCUUAUCUGAUGGAAUGUGUUAUUAAGAGUUCACGGAGGAAACGUCACAUAGCCGUGAACCAACUGAAAAAAACCACAGAAAAAAAUGUUCCACCUGAUUGGCCAAUGACAGGUUAAACUUCCUUUAAUGAAAAAGUCUGCAUGAUAUCUGUGUGUACGAACAGCUUCACUGUCUUUUAUCUGCCGGUCAUCGUCACACAUGGAUGGGUUGCAAAUUCUUACAGUCGUUCUCUUAGGAGUUGUUUCUUACAGUCAUGGUUGGAUUUCUGGACCAGUGUUGGAGGUGACAGACCAGGAGACAACAUCACUCUCUACUGUGACUGCAAAUUAUCAAGUGGAGUAUACAUAGUGUGGUACAGAAACUGCUCUCAUGAGAACCAGCCUUCUCUUGUCCUUGAAUCAAAACUUGAAUUAUAUGUGUUAACCGUUCUCCCUGGUUUUCAAUUUGUGAGAAACCAUUCCUCUGCCUCCUAUGACUUGUUGAUCAUGAACGUCACUGAUGCAGAUGAGGGUCUCUACUACUGUGGAACUAAACAGAUCAAGGUGGAGGACAAAGAAUUCAUCACUCCCAGAUAUGAUUACAGAUAUGGCAACGUCACAACAAGGAUCGGGAUCAUAGUCAAUUCCAGCCUUGACUCCAGUGGGUGCAUCUCAAGUCUUGUGCCUUCUGUGUCCUGGGUGAUGGUGUUCACUCCAGCCCUCAUGAUCCUCUCCUCCUUCCUCUCCUUUAUUCUGAUUCAUCACUUCUGUCAGAAAGCAGGUACCUAG
This 1317-nucleotide long non-coding RNA is filed under the name Dicentrarchus labrax (European seabass). RNAcentral's name for it is "lncRNA (ENSDLAG00005029010.1)". Lineage: Eukaryota; Metazoa; Chordata; Actinopteri; Moronidae. The record is from RNAcentral.